This 528-nucleotide small RNA is filed under the name Pongo abelii (Sumatran orangutan). RNAcentral describes it as "retained intron". The record is from RNAcentral. Lineage: Eukaryota; Metazoa; Chordata; Mammalia; Primates; Hominidae.
CGGGAAGUACAUGCAGAGCACCACAGUGGAGCAGUCCCACACCAAGUGGGUGCGCUAUAAUGGCCCGGUACCCAAGCCGCGGCCUGGAGCGUGCAUCGACAGCGAGGCACGGGCCGCCAACUAUACCAGCUCCUUGAAUUUGCCAGACAAGACGCUGCAGUUCGUUAAAGACCACCCUUUGAUGGAUGACUCGGUAACCCCAAUAGACAACAGGCCCAGGUUAAUCAAGAAAGAUGUGAACUACACCCAGAUCGUGGUGGACCAGACCCAGGCCCUGGAUGGGACUGUCUAUGACGUUAUGUUUGUCAGCACAGGUGGGUUCCAAGGGCUUGGCAGGCUUGACAGUGACAGUACAUCUGUGUCCUUUGGUAGGAAAACUGGGAAAUCCAAUUAUUCUUUUGUGAGUAGUUCCAUUGCCUCCCUCGAGGUGACCCGGGAGGUUUGUGGGAACGUAAAAAGAUUUCUGAGAAGUCACCACACCAGGUGGCUUUCAGAUCUGGGACCACUAGGCUACUGGGGGUACUUGUU